Molecule: non-coding RNA, 95 nt
Organism: Photobacterium marinum
Lineage: Bacteria; Pseudomonadati; Pseudomonadota; Gammaproteobacteria; Vibrionales; Vibrionaceae
Source: Rfam
UCUUUAAUGAGUAUAUGGGGGUAAAGCAGAAAGAUUCAACGGGAUAACCAACAGAAAAUAAAAAAGGAGGCAAAAGCCUCCUUUUUUCAUGCUUU